RNAcentral lists this long non-coding RNA (372 nucleotides) under Olea europaea (common olive). RNAcentral describes it as "long non-coding RNA (OEUR_LNC015301)". The record is from RNAcentral. Lineage: Eukaryota; Viridiplantae; Streptophyta; Magnoliopsida; Lamiales; Oleaceae.
AACAAAAACAAUAUUUUAAUCAGUAUAUAUCUUUCCCAAUUGAUAUUGCAUUUGCAGACCCAAUUACACCUCCAUUUUUCAUUCCCAGCGCUUUUUCAACUGCUACUUCAAUUUUCAGAUUUUCAGCACAAAAUAUUGCAAGAUCUUUUUUCAGAUAUCUAAUAUCAAGCAAUUUCCUGUCCGUCUUCCCGAACGCAGCUACAAUGUAGGAUUUCUUGUCGUCAAUGUUAUGGUCAACAAGAAUCCUCCUCUUUAGAAAGUUCACAAGCUUCUAAACAAUUUAAAAAGCCUAAAUGCCUCGUAAAGCAAGAAACUUAUAAUAUGAUGCGAAUUCAUACAUUAUCCCAUGGUCAUAUAUUGCUAAAGAUACGG